AGGAUAGGCAAACAAUGACCAAUUUCUUAUUUAAACAAGAUUAUAUAACUGGAAUAUUGCCAUAGUGAUGAUAGUUUAUGAAGUCAUAUGGGCGUGGAUGUCCCACCCCUUUUUGCUCUUUUUAAAACACAGCCUUAUCUGCUGGUGGCAUAUUUUGGAACACCAGAUCAUCCAGACUUAACUUGGAAACACAUCCAUGAUGAAGAAGGCAGUGCUCGUGUGUUUUGCCCUGUUUGUGGUCAUUUCCGUGACCAAUGCCGCUGAAUGCAUAAGUCAGAAGCAGGGCUGGGUGACUUGUUAUGAUGCUGUAGAUAAGAAAACGUACACAAAGGGAGCGAAAUGGGUUAACAGCGCAUGCCAGUUUUGCAGAUGCAACUAUGGAACUUCCAUCUGCUGUCCAGGAAUACGAGAUGGAUCCGGACAGUGCCAGCGUGUGAGCUGAGAAAUGCGUGUGAGCUGAGCGUGCCAGCAUGAGAAAAUGAAUCUGGAGAAUUACAGUGACAGAUCGGAGUCACUGUGUGGAUAAAUUUCGAUUAAUCGACUCAAUUAACAAUAAAGCAUUACUGAAGCAUUCAAUUUGUCUGUUUGUUUGUUUGUUUGUAAACGUGACUAAACACGUGGAAAAGAAAGUGUUCGCUGGGCAGCGACCACCUAGAAUUUAUUAAGAAAAUGAAGGAAAAAGCUAAGGAUAUGACGGGAAAAGAAAGACAAUCAUGAAAAGGACAACAUUUUACAGCAAGUAAGAGAGCGGAAAUAAAGAAAUAUGAACAGAAUAAACUAAGUCAAUAUUUUGGAUGAACCCUUUUUCUUCCCUCAAUAUGGCACCGUAUCUCGUAGGAUGCGCACACUGUAAAUGUGCUAAAUAACAGCAUGAACAACAUGUGACUGUUGUUUUCCUUCUUCAACACAAUUUAAGACAAUACUUACAAUUAUUAUUAGCAAUUUAUUUUUUUGACUGAAGAAAAGUAAGUGUACAUACCCUGUCUGUUUUAGCUCUAAACAAGAUGUGUGACACUCUGUUAGCUCUAUUUCCCUCGUGUCUACACGCAUAAUUGUACAUAUCCUGAAUAAAUCUACAUUCACACAAUGCAAAUGGAACCAGCCAAUUCGGUUACACCAAAUGAGGCGAACAUUUUCAGCUUGUCCUCGCGCACUCUCUGAGUAUUGUUUGUUUAUGGAAGUAGGUUCCUAAUUUUAUAGCCGUUUAUCAGACUUGAACAACAUGAUCAUACCACUAUGCUGCAAUACUUUGAACAAACCAAAGUAUUAUAUAAAAUAUUUUAACAGUGGUGGGGACAUAACAGGGCACAUCAAAGCUAGUAGGGAUUUUGGUUACUUAUGAGCUAAUCUAGGUAAAAGACCCUCAGGAUAGAACCAAAGUGAUUGCCUACCUAUGUCUUUUUAUAUACAUUGGUACACACUGGGUGCAUGAACUGUAGGUUGUCAGGGUUCAAGGAGGGGAUUGCUGAAUUUUUAUUGGCCUUCAAAACUAAAGAUUUUACAUUUAUUUCUAAUACGCUAAGGUCUUUUAAGUGGUUCUAUACUCAGAUGAAACAAAAAUAGAGCUUUUUGGUAAUAAACACCAGAGGUGGUUUUGGUGCACACAGAGAGGUAGCCAUAUGGAAAAGUACCUCAGGCUCACAGUUAAAUAUGGAGGUGGAUCUUAAUGUUUUGGGGCUGUUUUUCUGCCAGAUGACCUGGACAUUUUGUUAGGAUACAUGGCAUCAUGGACUCUAUCAAAUAUCUACACAUAUUAAAUGAAAACCUGACUGCCUCUGCCAGAAAGCUUAAAAUGGGCCGUGGUUGGAUCUUCCAGCAGGACAAUGAUCCAAAACAUACAUCAAAAUCAACACAAAAAUGGUUUACUGACCACAAAAUCAAGAUCCUGCCAUGACCAUCCCAGUUCCCUGACUCGAAACCCAUAGAAAACCUGUGGAGUGAACUUAAGAGGAGAGUCCACUAGCAUGGACCUCGAAAUGUGAAGGAUCUGGAGAGAUUCUGUAUGGAGGAACGGUCUCAGAUCCCUUCCCAUGUCUUCUCCAACCUCCUCAGGCAUUAUAGGAGAAACUGUUAUCUUGGCAAAAGGAGGUAACACAAAAUAUUGACUAAAAGUGUGCCAAUAUUUGUUGCACACCUAUAUUUAACAAAGGUGUUGGUUUUUUUUUUGGUCAAUAAACCUGUGUUUUGUUUGCAAUUGUUUGAUAUCCCCGAGAGCAGAGUAUUUUUGUGAAUUUUUCGAACAAUAAAGAGAAUUUUUCACAGCCGUCUUUGCUCAUAUUUACAAAGGAUGCCAAUAUUAAUAUAUAUGUGCACACAUAUACAUACAAUACAUAAGUUUGUCCUAUUUUUUUUUUGUUGAUAAUACGGAUUUGGACAGUGGCAAACAAUGUAGAGUGGAUACCAAGAAACGGCCACUUUCAUGUAGUGCCUUUGGAAAGUGAUUCUUAAGAAUUAAAGUGUAAGUGAUUGAUUGAUCAUUUGGCAAGAAGCCUCAUUUUGCAAAACGUCAUGACAGAAACAUUACUGUAUUAACACCAAAUGACUGCAGUUUUCUGUGGUUUGAUUUGUAAAUGAGACAGAUGGUGAGGAGGAAGACAUUACGGAAGAUUUUUCCGUACCAAAUAUUGUAUGUUCUCACGGUUCCUACGGUAUAUUUCCCACGAAAUUCAAGCAUUAAAUUGGCUGUGAGUGAGCAUGUCACCUUAUGCGUCACGUCACACUAAGACUGCCAACCUCAACUCAUGACUAAAGAAUUCUUUAUGAUGUGUAUUUUCUGUGACAGCAAAAUCUGGCCAAAAAUCGUAGAGUGUACAAUGUGUGUGCGAUUAGAUACAGAUGUAAUUAUCCUUAAAUCCACACACAGAAGGCACAUUGUCUGUCAUACUGUAUGCUAUUGCCAGUAUUACCUGCCAAGUCUCUGGAGCACAAGCCUGGGAGCCACUAAAUAAGCUCCUCGUUCUUUCAGAAACAGACUGGAAAUUAUGCGGUACUUUUGAGUUAAAUUGUUUGGAUACUAUUCAGCAAAUUGAACUAACUUGGUUCUGUUCA
This is a long non-coding RNA of Ictalurus furcatus (blue catfish), 3048 nucleotides long. RefSeq lists it as uncharacterized. The transcript is spliced from 4 exons. The record is from RefSeq and is a predicted model, not a curated record. NCBI's taxonomy places the organism in Eukaryota, Metazoa, Chordata, Actinopteri, Siluriformes, Ictaluridae.